GUGCUUGCUUCAGCAGCACAUAUACUAAAAUUGGAGCGAUACAGAGAAGAUUAGCAUGGCCCCUGCACAAGGAUGGCAUGCAAAUUCAUGAAGCAUUCCAUAUUUUG
Pongo abelii (Sumatran orangutan) is the source of this 107-nucleotide small nuclear RNA. NCBI's taxonomy places the organism in Eukaryota, Metazoa, Chordata, Mammalia, Primates, Hominidae. The record is from Ensembl.